This 492-nucleotide ribosomal RNA is filed under the name uncultured bacterium. RNAcentral describes it as "partial 16S ribosomal RNA". It matches the Rfam family "Bacterial small subunit ribosomal RNA", at positions 29 to 507 of the family's 1533-position model. The record is from RNAcentral.
AGUGAACGCUGGCGGUAGGCCUAACACAUGCAAGUCGAACGGCAGCACAGUAAGAGCUUGCUCUUACGGGUGGCGAGUGGCGGACGGGUGAGGAAUACAUCGGAAUCUACUUUUUCGUGGGGGAUAACGUAGGGAAACUUACGCUAAUACCGCAUGCGACCUACGGGUGAAAGCAGUGGAUCUUCGGACCUUGCGCGAUUGAAUGAGCCGAUGUCGGAUUAGCUAGUUGGCGGGGUAAAGGCCCACCAAGGCGACGAUCCGUAGCUGGUCUGAGAGGAUGAUCAGCCACACUGGAACUGAGACACGGUCCAGACUCCUACGGGAGGCAGCAGUGGGGAAUAUUGGACAAUGGGCGCAAGCCUGAUCCAGCCAUACCGCGUGGGUGAAGAAGGCCUUCGGGUUGUAAAGCCCUUUUGUUGGGAAAGAAAAGCAGCAGGUUAAUACCCCGCUGUUCUGACGGUACCCAAAGAAUAAGCACCGGCUAACUUCGUG